Molecule: ribosomal RNA, 253 nt
Filed under: uncultured bacterium
Lineage: Bacteria
Description: partial 16S ribosomal RNA
Rfam family: Bacterial small subunit ribosomal RNA
Source: RNAcentral
UACGUAGGGGGCAAGCGAUAUCCGGAUUUACUGGGUGUAAAGGGAGCGUAGGCGGUGCAGCAAGUCAGAAGUGAAAGCCCGGGGCUCAACUCCGGGACUGCUUUUGAAACUGUUGAACUAGAUUGCAGGAGAGGUAAGUGGAAUUCCUAGUGUAGCGGUGAAAUGCGUAGAUAUUAGGAGGAACACCAGUGGCGAAGGCGGCUUACUGGACUGUAAAUGACGCUGAGGCUCGAAAGCGUGGGGAGCAAACAGG